GUCAGCAUGGCCGUUACCGUUCCACGGGCUACACAACGUGCUACAAUGGUCGGUACGAGAAGGGAAAGCAAUACCGCGAGGUGGAGCAAAUCCCAAAAAACCGGCCUCAGUUCAGAUUGCAGUCUGCAACUCGACUGCAUGAAGCCGGAAUCGCUAGUAAUCGUGGAUCAGCAUGCCACGGUGAAUACGUUCCCGGGUCUU
Molecule: ribosomal RNA, 201 nt
Filed under: uncultured bacterium
Lineage: Bacteria
Description: partial 16S ribosomal RNA
Rfam family: Bacterial small subunit ribosomal RNA
Source: RNAcentral